Long non-coding RNA from Sciurus carolinensis (gray squirrel), 2214 nucleotides. RefSeq lists it as uncharacterized. The transcript is spliced from 3 exons. The record is from RefSeq and is a predicted model, not a curated record. NCBI's taxonomy places the organism in Eukaryota, Metazoa, Chordata, Mammalia, Rodentia, Sciuridae.
UCCUGGCUUUCCGGAGCGUCAACCGCUUCUUAAUUGCAACUCAGCGGUCUCUUUUUGCAUCUUACUCCUGGAAAUGGGGUCAUAAGCGUGCUCAAGGAAUUCCAGAUUCAGUGUCCACGGAGACAACCCAUGACCUCAGAGUAGGAGGGGUGAUUAGGUCAGGCUGAAACAGGAGAAAGGACCUGAUGUUGUCGCAGUGGAGGAAUCUGGGGUGAAGUACUUGGCUUUAAAGGUCAAGGCUUUCUCACAGUUUAUCUCUCAAUCUAUCCAUUUUCAACCAACAAAAGAAAAAUAUGCAAACAAGAGAUACAACUAUUUAAUGCAUGGAAAAACUGGAGUUAUAUAGUAGCAAUAUUCUACAAGGAGUUGUUAGGGUUUGGACGAGGGAUGUCCCCCAAAAGCUCCUGUGUUAAUGCAGUAAUAUUCGGAGGCGAAAUGAUUACAUUGUGAGAGCUGUAACCUAAUCUCAGUCCAUCCUAGUUUGAUUCGACAAGUAGUAAUUGUAGGAGAGCUUCCAAAAUUGAACAAUGAGAAGCAUAGUACAAAGAACUCCUUUCUUCUUAAUCACUGCUGAAUCUGAGCACCCAGAAUAUUUCCAUGUCGAAUGAGCAUGAAACUGACAUUUGUUGACUCUAUGAGAAAAUGAGGACAAGGUGCUAUAAGAACAUAGGAGUAUGAAUCUGACUAGAUUCACUGAAGAAGUGGCAAUUUACUUGGAGGACUUCAAAGGACAAAGAGUUCCCCAGAACAUAUUGGAACAGCAUUCUUGGCAGAGGGAACAGUUUGAGAAAAGGUAGCUUUAUUGUGCUCUGGAUUGGAUUUUUCAGAAGACAGAAGUUAACUAUUCAUUGACAGUAUGUUCCCUCAGCUCAGGAGGAACAUGGAAAGGACAUAAGAGUGAACACAAGAAUGCUGGCCUCCAUCAACUUAUCCUUUAUUGAUGCUUCUGGCACUCAGGCCCGAGAGAAAAAGGGCCCAAGGCUGAGGCACAGGGGUGGAGUGGGACUGGCCGUGGCAGGAGCCUUGCUGCUUCUCGUAGACCAGUUCUGCAGGUAUCCACCCUAUAGCAUGUAAUUCUAGUAACUGGAGGAACAUCCUAACCAUCUUGAGAUCAUGAAUGAUGCCGGUUCCCCUAUGUUUCCGUAAAAAGACACAAAUCAUGUUAGGUUAAAGAAAGAUCUCUUCCUUGGCUCAAGACUGACAGACCUGACCUUGUCCUCCCAAAUCUGGAGUCCAGUCCCUUGGACACUUAAGAUGACAAAAAGAAUCAUAACAUGACCUGACAUCUAAGAGUAGUCAUCUGGUCAACCUCACUGACUUUACAAAAAGUAGAAACUUGAGGCUCAGAAAGUAGUAGUAAUCAGGCAUAGGUACCAAGGUAGGUCUGUACAGUCCUGGCUGCCACCAAGGCAUCAUCUGAUUGGCACUUUGUUGUCUCUCUUCCUAUCUGUGUGACAGUCUCCUUAACUAUCUACAACACUCUGAAUCUGGAGACAACUUUGUGAAGUUGGACAAGUUACUCUCAGUUUCCACUAUGACACAUUGUCAAGUCCGGUGCAUGUAGAACAUGCGGCACAUAGUAGCUGCUUCAUCUGUCAACCAAGUCCCUUCUGAUUCCAACUGUGCAUUCCUCUUCCCAUGUCUACAGCACUCAUUCAUUCAUUCCAAACUCACUCUCUGUUCCAGUCUGAGUGAUUUCAGAUAAGCCAGACUUUUUUCCUGUCUCAGGAACACUCAAUCCAAUGAGGAGUCAGGCACAGACAAAGGCACUGUAGGAAGAAGACCAGGAGCUGGAGGAACCCAGAGCGGGAAGCCAGGGCUUUGUUCUGAGGUAAAGGCAGAGUUGAAGACUUCCCAGGACUAGGGCAGUGUAGAGCUGGGAGUGUAAGAGUGGUUUCUCUUGGACAAUGUAUAUGCUCUGUGUCUUCUGGUCAAACUGUACAGUCCUGCCUCUCUCCUUGAUCUACUUCUAUCUUAUUCCCAUUGUCCUGGUGAUACCAGCCAGUCUAACAUGUGCAGUGUGUUUUUCUACAAUAAGAAAUAAAUGUAGUAGGGCUCCCUUUAUCCAAGAGGAUAUGUUCCCCAGUGGAUGCCCAAAACAAUGGGUAGUACUUAACCCUACAUAGUAUAUUUUUUCUUAUGUGUACAAACCUGUGAUAAAGUUUCAUUUACAAAUUAGGCACAGUAAGAGAUUAAAAACACUUAAUAAUAAAA